RNAcentral lists this transfer RNA (76 nucleotides) under Lentisphaerota bacterium. RNAcentral's name for it is "Lentisphaerae bacterium (feces metagenome) tRNA-Thr". It matches the Rfam family "tRNA". Rfam says of the family: Transfer RNA (tRNA) molecules are approximately 80 nucleotides in length. Their secondary structure includes four short double-helical elements and three loops (D, anti-codon, and T loops). The record is from RNAcentral. Lineage: Bacteria; Pseudomonadati; Lentisphaerota. RNAcentral also lists the same sequence under 1 other name.
GCCGGCUUGGCUCAGUUGGUAGCGCAGUUGAUUUGUAAUCAUCAGGUCGCCGGUUCGAGUCCGGCAGCCGGCUCCA